RNAcentral lists this ribosomal RNA (429 nucleotides) under Fusobacteriota bacterium. Its description in RNAcentral is "Fusobacteria bacterium partial 16S ribosomal RNA". It matches the Rfam family "Bacterial small subunit ribosomal RNA", at positions 355 to 776 of the family's 1533-position model. The record is from RNAcentral. Lineage: Bacteria; Fusobacteriati; Fusobacteriota.
UGGGGAAUCUUCCGCAAUGGACGAAAGUCUGACGGAGCAACGCCGCGUGAGUGAAGACGGCCUUCGGGUUGUAAAGCUCUGUGAUCCGGGACGAAAGAGCCUGAGGUAAAUAGCCUAAGGAAGUGACGGUACCGGAAAAGCAAGCCACGGCUAACUACGUGCCAGCAGCCGCGGUAAUACGUAGGUGGCAAGCGUUGUCCGGAAUUAUUGGGCGUAAAGCGCGCGCAGGCGGCUUCCUAAGUCCAUCUUAAAAGUGCGGGGCUUAACCCCGUGAUGGGAUGGAAACUGGGAAGCUGGAGUAUCGGAGAGGAAAGUGGAAUUCCUAGUGUAGCGGUGAAAUGCGUAGAGAUUAGGAAGAACACCGGCGGCGAAGGCGACUUUCUGGACGAAAACUGACGCUGAGGCGCGAAAGCGUGGGGAGCAAACAGG